This 935-nucleotide ribosomal RNA is filed under the name uncultured bacterium. Its description in RNAcentral is "bacterial SSU rRNA". It matches the Rfam family "Bacterial small subunit ribosomal RNA", at positions 8 to 916 of the family's 1533-position model. The record is from RNAcentral.
AGAGUUUGAUCCUGGCUCAGAACGAACGCUGGCGGCGUGCUUAACACAUGCAAGUUGGACGAGAAAUCGUGCUUUUGGGUACGAGAGUAAAGUAGCGGACGGGUGAGUAGCGCGUGGGUAACCUAUCCUUAAAUCUGGGAUAAUUCACUGAAAGGUGGACUAAUACCGGGUAGCAUAUAUAUGCUGUAGCAUAUAUAUGAGAGCUAGCCUCUGAGGGAAGCUAGUGUUUAGGGAGGGGCCCGCGUCCUAUCAGUUAGUUGGUAGGGUAAGGGCCUACCAAGGCGAUGACGGGUAGCUGGUCUGAGAGGAUGGUCAGCCACACUGGAACUGAGAGACGGUCCAGACUCCUACGGGAGGCAGCAGUGAGGAAUUUUGCGCAAUGGGGGAAACCCUGACGCAGCGACGCCGCGUGGGUGAGGAAGGCCUUCGGGUUGUAAAGCCCUGUCGAGUGGGAAGAAUUUCUUAGGGUUAAACAGGCUUUAAGAUUGACGGUACCACUGGAGGAAGCACCGGCUAACUCCGUGCCAGCAGCCGCGGUAAUACGGAGGGUGCGAGUGUUGUUCGGAAUUAUUGGGCGUAAAGGGCGUGUAGGCGGUAGGGCGAGUCAGGUGUGAAAGUCCUGGGCUCAACCUAGGAAGUGCAUUUGAUACUGUUUUACUUGAGUACCGGAGAGGAAGGGGGAAUUCCCGGUGUAGGGGUGAAAUCCGUAGAUAUCGGGAGGAAUACCGGUGGCGAAGGCGCCCUUCUGGACGGAUACUGACGCUGAGGCGCGAGAGCGUGGGGAGCAAACAGGAUUAGAUACCCUGGUAGUCCACGCUGUAAACGAUGGUCACUAGGUGUGGGGGGGUAUUGAUACCUUCUGUGCCGGAGUUAACGCAUUAAGUGACCCGCCUGGGGAUUACGGUCGCAAGGCUAAAACUCAAAGGAAUUGACGG